CAUUGUUACUUCCAUUCCUUCCAGAUCAGUUGGCAAUUUGUCAACCGAUGUUGUCUUGAGGAUGUCAACUGAUUUUACAACAAAGUACUUCAAUUAGACUGUAUAGAGAUUUCUCACAUGCAGCUGUGGGUUACAGAAAGUAAAGAUGGACAAAUCAAGCAGGGGCAUAACUACAAAGUAACUAA
This is a long non-coding RNA of Hibiscus syriacus, 185 nucleotides long. RefSeq lists it as uncharacterized. The transcript has 2 exons. The record is from RefSeq and is a predicted model, not a curated record. Lineage: Eukaryota; Viridiplantae; Streptophyta; Magnoliopsida; Malvales; Malvaceae.